UACGGAGGGUGCGAGCGUUGUCCGGAAUCAUUGGGCGUAAAGGGCGCGUAGGUGGCGGGACAAGCGUGCGGUGAAAGCUUGGGGCUCAACCCCGGGUCGGCAGUGGAUACGGGCAGGCUAGAGGUAGGUAGGGGAGAAUGGAAUUCCCGGUGUAGCGGUGAAAUGCGCAGAUAUCGGGAGGAACACCGGUGGCGAAGGCGGGUUGCUGGGCCGACACUGACGCUGAUGCGCGAAAGCCAGGGGAGCGAACGGG
RNAcentral lists this ribosomal RNA (253 nucleotides) under uncultured bacterium. RNAcentral's name for it is "partial 16S ribosomal RNA". It matches the Rfam family "Bacterial small subunit ribosomal RNA", at positions 524 to 776 of the family's 1533-position model. The record is from RNAcentral.